Molecule: ribosomal RNA, 27 nt
Filed under: Ternstroemia gymnanthera
Lineage: Eukaryota; Viridiplantae; Streptophyta; Magnoliopsida; Ericales; Pentaphylacaceae
Description: partial 28S ribosomal RNA
Source: RNAcentral
ACGCGGUGCUCUCGACCGCGACCCCAG